AUUGAACGCUGGCGGCAUGCCUUACACAUGCAAGUCGAACGGCAGCACGGGAGCAAUCCUGGUGGCGAGUGGCGAACGGGUGAGUAAUACAUCGGAACGUGCCCAGUCGUGGGGGAUAACGUAGCGAAAGUUACGCUAAUACCGCAUACGAUCUAUGGAUGAAAGCGGGGGAUCGCAAGACCUCGCGCGAUUGGAGCGGCCGAUGGCAGAUUAGGUUGUUGGUGGGGUAAUGGCUUACCAAGCCUCCGAUCUGUAGCUGGUCUGAGAGGACGAUCAGCCACACUGGGACUGAGACACGGCCCAGACUCCUACGGGAGGCAGCAGUGGGGAAUUUUGGACAAUGGGCGAAAGCCUGAUCCAGCAAUGCCGCGUGCAGGACGAAGGCCUUCGGGUUGUAAACUGCUUUUGUACGGAGCGAAACGGCUCUCACUAAUACUGGGGGCUAAUGACGGUACCGUAAGAAUAAGCACCGGCUAACUACGUGCCAGCCGCCGCGGUAA
Molecule: ribosomal RNA, 500 nt
Filed under: uncultured bacterium
Lineage: Bacteria
Description: partial 16S ribosomal RNA
Rfam family: Bacterial small subunit ribosomal RNA
Source: RNAcentral